CACCCUAAGCCCGUCCAGAAUUCCCGUUGCUAAACCAGCAGCUCGCGUCGUCCAUGAGGGAGCCAGACACUGAUCAGCUCACUGAUGACAACGAAUCACACGGCCUUGUUGCGUUCGCCGCAGAAUCUGGUCCGCAGCUGUGGUCCACUUUGAUAAAUGCAAAGAAAUUUAAAAUAUAAAAUCUUUUGCUUGUACGGAGUCACGCAGCGGUUUCACUGGUGUUAUAGUGCCAUUAUAAAAGUCAACGAGACCUUUUAACACCGCUUGGCGAGGUGAACGAGAGCUUCGUCCUUAAUUACAUUCACGCACUAAUCAUUACAUUAUCGAUUGACCGGCUGCGCAGCAAAGCAUCGGUUUGCAUUGAUUGCCAUAACCACGUGCCACACAUGCGUUUAACUGCCUAAAAUCAGCUUUCAGGAUCCGGGCCAGCGAACAUCGGGAAUCUUACGGCAGACACUGCUGCCUGUAGAAUCAGACUACGGCGAACUCCGCCAUUGCAACCAUAAAAGCAUUUCAGGGCUUCUUCUCCCAGCAGCAUGGCUUUGAUAUCGCUUCUAGGCGAAGUGGAGACCAAUCCACCUAGAGCAGAAGAGGCAUUUCUCAACAUGGGAUAUAACGUGGUACAUAAAAGGAGUACUCGAAAAAGGUUCCGGGAGGGAAACCUUUAAUCUCACUAUUACAGCCGUGCCCUCUGGACGGCUCUCUAGAAUCAUGCCCGAAAUCCAGGUGUUAUUCCUCGACGAAGACGGUCAACCCCUUAUGACGGAGACCGGAUUUACCCCAUAUCCAUUCAACGUUUCUGGCAACAGUGGCGUAAAAAACAUAACAAGCAGCCCAGAAUCAACUUCCCUUGUUCCGUUAGUUCGAAGUAUUGAUAUACUUGGUCUUAGGAAGAUGAACUUCAUUAAAGAAUCGAUUGGGGUAGCUCUAUAUAUCCGUAGAUCUAAAUAAAACCAAAAUAGACUUUAAGGUUUAUAUAUGUUCCUUGCGAAUAUCCUGAAAACUGUACAAUUAUUUCUUAUUCGCAACUCGAAUGAUGAGCUUAUACAUAACAUUUUUAUUUGAGAAGAUAAACAAAAAUGACUUUGUUAUAAUCGAUGGCUGCCUGCGGCGUUACAGUCUUAACAAAUCACGUUAAUGUUUGAAAGGCAGCUGCGUGACA
Non-coding RNA from Varroa destructor (honeybee mite), 1162 nucleotides. Lineage: Eukaryota; Metazoa; Arthropoda; Arachnida; Mesostigmata; Varroidae. The record is from RefSeq and is a predicted model, not a curated record.